AUCCUCGCACCACCUCUCCGUCCGCGUGUGCACUCACGCCCGAGUUCCACUCUCCACGUGAAAGUACCACCUGGAACGCCGUCGCGUGCCGCGAAGUGAGAAGGGAGGGCCGCCGUGGGUGUUAUCCGUCAUUGCCAUCGUUCGGACCUCGGUGAUGGGUCGGGGGCAAUCCUCUGGACAUAUUGGUGUGUCCGGGUGCUGGCGUGGACUUGUGCUAAUUGCAAUCGGCGCCAAUUGCUCGUUGGAGUCGCCCUGCCUACAUUUCCGCCGUUCUGCGUGGGCAGAAACCUUCGCGUCGUAACCCACUGUGAGUUUUACUCCAACGAAUUUGCGAUACUUAGAACAUUAUGAUUUACCCUAGCGUGCGGUGGUUGGGUGCUGGGUGACCGGGCGCGUCGUAGCAGGUGUUUGCGCCGUCGUGUUCUGCGCGAGCGACUCGCGCCUCCGCUGCCGCGUGGAGAAGAUGGGGCCUUUGUCGUUAGAUCAUCAAGCAACGGGUAGGAUUAGAUGAACCAUACCUCUUCGCUGAAUCAAUUCGGGACCGUUCGAUCGGAUCGGUGGGCUGAAGUUCAAUUCGACUGUGGUCUGUUGGAUCUGGAUCCAAGGGACCACUUUGCGUACCGGUUCAUUUCAGAAUGUAUUUAAUCCUGGCACUUGGAUUUGAUCGGAUGGCUGAGGUCCGUGCUUCAUGCCGCUUUGCAAAAGAAACCCUAGAGUAUUCAGAGUUCAACCUGCAGUCCACGUCAGGGACAUACUGAGUCUUGGAAAGUCUUACGCAGGGGUCCCUGCGCUUUACUGUAUUUGGCACGCAAUCCAGAGAACUAAGGAAAUAGAUAAUUAAUAUUAGAAAUUGAUUUUUAAUAUAAAAAUAAUUCUAGAAACUUAUAUAAUUCAUAUUUAAUUCAUUUCAACUCAAAAUUGAUCCAUUCUAGUGGCAUUUAUUUUCUUUUAAUAUUGUUUAUCGCCUAGUAACUCUACUUAGCCAUAAAACUUGAAUUAAAAUUAUUCACUUGAACUAUUCUAUUUUAAGUACUAAAUAACUUCAGAAAUUCAUAACUAAAUAACUGUAAAUCUAAAUUUAGUUAUUCUUGUUCCUACGAUCUCAUCACACAGUGUAGAAUAUUAUCAUGCAUUAUGUGAUGAUGUUUGGUGUGAUCUUAGUUCUCACUAUAACAUGUUUGUUUGUAUUAUUGCGAGUAGACGAGCAAGCUACUAAGGAUACAGGUAGGGAUGAAAACGGUCGGAAACGGUAUUUAUUCGGUAAUCAGUUUUUAGUCGUUUUUCUUUGAUUGCGAAUAAAUAGGAUAUAGAAUCUAUAUAUAAAUUUGUAUUCUUGUUUUUAACAUUCAACUUCUAAAGAUUCAUAAAAGGUAAACCUCAAAUGCAUCAUAUUUUUUUCUAAAAUAAUAGAUAUAAACUUCGGUAUGGAUUCAGAAAUAAAUUCGGUAAAUUUUUCAACUUUUUGUGUUGUAGGGAGAAAAUAAAACAUAAAACAAUUUAUGUAAUAUUUUAUUCGUAUUUGUACUAAUUUGCUUGAUAACAUAAAAAAGAUCAAUAUCAAAUUUUAUACAUAUCUAUUUUAAAAUAUUAAAUUUGUCCUAACAGUUCGAAUUACCACUUUCAUCCCUAGAUAUAGGGGUUCAGCGGGUGGAGACUGUUGAGCAGGAACUCGUUGAAGGCAAGUUGUGCCCUUGAUGCAUAGGUUAAUUUUGAUGGGACCCAAUAGGUUACCCUAGUUUGGCUAUCUUUAUGCCUUGUUUUACCACUGAAUUUUUGGGUAGUACCUGCUAUUGCUUUAUGUGGUUUUGGGUAUGGAGAUAUACAUUAUUCAUGAUCACACUUUUAUUAUCAGUUUAUUAUUUACUAUUUAUGAUAAGAUCAUUAUGUUAAUUGGAACAUGGAGAACCAACUGGGAAAACAGUGCUACCACAAGGGUGGUAUGGGACGCCCUUGGCUGACUAACUAGGAAAGCUCGUGGAGGACUACCUUACCCGAUAGGGGCAAGGGCAGUAGGGGAGUGAUCAGUGUAGAGAGGUCCUUAGGUUGAUUUUGCUGCGAUGGCGGUCAGGCGAGGCAUCCCUGCAUUGGAGCUUACUAGAAAGUGUAGCGGGUUUUCUGAUGCUAGUGGAACUUUGUAAAGGCCUUGUAGUGGUACCCUGCCUCGCUUCCUUGGUAGAGGUGUAUGGGGUCUGAUCAUCCCCGUGGCAAAUGGGUAACACGACUUGUGGGUAAAGAUGCACAACCUCUGCAUAGUGUAAAACUAGUAUACUAGUUGUGCUAACGGUCAUGAGCAGCUCGGACACUCACAUGAUUAAUUUAUAGAUAAAUUCAAUUUGUCAUUUGCACCGUAUCGGGAUUUAUUAUUAUUUUACCUUACUAUUACUAUGGUUGGUAUUUACUUCCAUUUAGUAACUGGUAAUAAAAUUUUGACCAACUUAUAAAAGCAAUGAUCAGCUUUAACCUUUAUUUAUUGAUCAGCCUUACACUUCACAUGAACUCCAACCUUUGGUGAGUUCAUGCACAUUAUUCCCCACAACUUGUUGAGCUCACUACAAGAAACUGAUAAAUGUUCGUGGGUAAAAGUAAGAACGUGGGUACCGACGUUCUUACUUGAGUUAAGUUCAUGGGUUAUGUUAAGAACGUGGGUACCGACGUUCUUAAGUUAAGUUCGUGGGCCCUGGCUAAAACCGUCGAACUUAACGAGUUAGGAACGUGGGUACCCACGUUCUUAAGUUAAGUUCGUCGGGCAUGUGGACACCAUCGAACUUAAUCCUGAAAACCUAAAUCCAAAUCCCACGCGUGGCUCUCUCUCUCCCCUGUCUCAUUCCCGCCCACACGCUUCUCUCUCUCACCAGCAGGCCGCGCAGCCGCCAUGCCACCGCCAGCGGGUCUGUCACACCCGGUUUUUAGAAGGCAAACCGAAUGCGAACCAUGUACGUGCCAGGAUCAGUUAUUCACGUACACAGCAUUUACAUAACAUGGACAUCAUCACACAGUGCUCAAAAUAGUAUUAAGAAGGGAAAUAGUCGAUUACAUCAUACGUCUGAGACGUCCAUAUAGUCCUUACAAUAAAUCAAAGUGCGGAAAAGAAACGUAGAUAACCGCGGCCUUCACAGGCAGCCGACUGGGGGUUGCCGCUAACCCACACCUAGAACUCGUCGUAGUCUUGGAACUCCUGGAAGUCUCCUUCCACAGCUUCAUCUUCGCCUGAGCAGUGGUUGCAAUGCUGACAACCUGGGGGGGGGGGGGUUUGGUGUGUAGAGCAAGGGUGAGUACACAUCAACAUACUCAGCAAGUAUCCUGUUUGGCUGUAGUGGACUAGCUUUAUGUGGGGAUAAGUCAAGCAGUUGCUUUUAGUUGGUCAGAUUAUUACUUACUAGUAGAAAGCCAAGUUUUAGCAUUAACCCAAGUUAUUAACCCGAUGUACCCUUUCCGAAUGGAAAGAAUACCACUUACCAGCACCACAGUCAUAACCAAAACCAUCGAUCUCAUAGCCACCUGUACCAAAGUAUCUCUGAUCAAGUACCACUAAUCACUGGAGCUCCCUUGGCCGCUCAUAACCGUGAGCACGACUGAUAUAUCAGUUUUCAAACACUCUGCAGAGGUUGUGCACUUUACCCACAAGCCGUGAUUCCCUCUCGCCUCGGGCCGAUCAAACCCUUAAACACUACCAAGGUGAAUAGGCAGGGUUUCACUACGUAGCCUUUACAAAGAUUCCCCGGGGCUGUAGCCACCCGUUAGGUUUCCUAAAUGCACCGCACUCCUCCCCAAGGGGCGAACCCAAACUUGGCAGAGCGAGCCGCAUACACCGAGCCCCAUUGACGGCACAACGACUAAGUGAACUACACCUCGGAUCCUCUAAUUAUUCAGCUAAGGGCAUCCCAUUCCACCCUCAUGGUUGCACUGUUUUCCCGGGCGGUCAUCCAUAGAACAGGUCCUUACGGAGAGGCACUCGAGAAACCGCUCGAGUCCCCUUAAAGCCACAAGUACAACAUCAUAAUAAGAGAAGGGAAAACAACGUAUCAUAGAUAAUCUCAUCAUGUUCAUUGAUUAGAGUUGAGCAAUAGCAUAAAACUAACUAAUAAUAAUCCAACCCAUAUAGGUAAACAAGGAUAUGGAUAACAAAAGCUAGUCAGUCCUUAGGCAUAAAUGUGUAAAGCGGGAGGUGAAUUAAAUAAUGAAUAGGACAGAGAUAGGUCAAAGGACACUUGCCUCCACCAACCGACUGCUGCUCAGGGGCUUCUCCUGCGAGUUCCUCGGGCUCUUCAACCGGAUCGUUCUCUAUGCGAUUGCAAGCAUACAUACAUACAUCCAUUCAAAUUGGGAAGCAAACAGUACAUCAUACAAGGGAACAAAUAAAGUGGAUAUGCAUCAAGUAUGACAUUCGAUAUCGCAUUCAUUAUGGUUAGAAAGAAACGGGAAAAAGGUCUCGCAAGGGGGUUAAAGCUUACGCACUAACGAUUAGUUACAUUUGGUUCUAACAAAAGAAUUUAGUUAUAUGCACUAAUGGAAACCUAGUCAUUUUUAGUUGAUCAACAUUGAACGGGAUAAACAAUUGAUUAUAUGAAUUAACUAGCGUAACAGAAUUCUAAAUUAAGUUCCCUACUUCAAUAACAUGAACAAUGAUUAACCUGCCUAAAAUAAAAUAAAUAACAGUAACGAAAGAAAAUAAAAUAAAAUAAAAUAAAAUAAAUAAAAAAGGGGGGGGCGGUUGAACCGGCCAGGGGGCGGUUGAACCGGCCUGGGCAGGGGCGGGGGCGGCCAAGCCGGCGGCGGGCGGCCGAGCUGGCGGGGGGGGGGGGGGGCGGCCGAACCGGCGGGGGCGCAGGGGCAGGGGGCGACCGAGCCGGCCAGGGGGCGGCCGAGCUGGCGCGCAGGGGCGGCGGCGGCCGAGCCGGCCAGGGGGCGGCUGAGCUGGGCGGCGGGCGGCCGGACCGAGGCGCAGGGGGGCCGAGCGGCGGGGCCGAGCCGGGUAGGGGGAAGGGGAGGGGAGAUGGGGGAGGGAGGAGAGGGGGAGGGGGACCUCACCGGGGACGGGGACGGGCGGCCGAACCGACGACGAGCAGGGGCGGCGGCUAGGGCAGGGGGCGGCGGCUGGGGUGGGGAAGAGAGAGAAUGAGAGGGAGGGAGAGGGAUUGGGGGGGAUUGGGGGGAAGGGGAGGGGGCGGCUGGGCCAAUGGGCCCAAAGGGGGCGCGCGGGGGGGUGGGCGGCUGGGCCGACCGGGGCGGCCCACGGCGCGGGAGAGAGAAUAAGAGGAGAGAGAGAAAGAAAAAGAAAGAAAAGGUUUUUUUCUCCUUUUCGAAAUCCGAUCUUUCUAGAUGAAUGCACUUACAUCUCUAAGCAGUCAAAGAAUGCAUAGUUCGGCAUGGUGCAUCAAACAACAUAAAGUGAUUUAGGGUUUUUUUCUUAACACGGGAAAUCCAAGCCGAACCCCGCGGUAACUUUGGAAAAGAUCAAGGUUUAGCGAGGGAACGAGAAAAGAAAAGGGUAACGCCUGAAUUUGGUAAGAGAAAAGAAGAAAAAAAUUCUACCCCCAAAUUCAGGGUGUUACAGGGUCGCACCACCGCGAGCGGGCCACGCCGCCGCACCACCGCCCCGGCUCGGCACCGACAAUGGGCCGCGCCAGCGCCAGUGGGCCACGCCGGCGCAUCGCUGCCCCAGCUCGCCAGCGGGCCGCGCCACCACACCCACACCAACGAAACACAGGUAUAGUUUUGUAUUAUAUUUUCUUUAAUUUACAAUUAAAAUCAUGCAUCGUUUUUUUGGUUAUAGGGUUCUGAGACUGGACAAGGAAACCCAUAGAUGGACAUGUAGUGGUCGAUGCCCCCUAGAGGACAUAUUCUUCCUCCUCCACAACCAGGUAUGGGAUAUUGACCACCACCACCAUGGAGAUAUCCUACACAUCCAAUGGGGCCUUAGGGAUGCCCCCCAUGGCCAACACAGCCACUUCCAUCACUAGCGGUACGUUCCUGAUUCAUGCUGCUUGCUACUUGUUCACGCUGCAACAAAUUGGGCUUCUUUUUUUGGGACUACUCCAUUGCUGCUUGUUUCUUGUGAUGGCAGCACUUUAGGCUAGGACAGAUGUGUAUCAUCAUGCUUUCCUAUAUCUUGGUGUACAUGUCAUUUUGUGAUCUUCUUGGAAGCCACAUUUUGUGUUUAUCAUGCUUUCCUAUAUCUUUGUGUACAUGUGAUUUAAUGCUAGUUGUAUAUUUAUGAGAAUUUUGGUUUAUUUUGUAGGAUUUCGGAUCUCAUCAAGUGACUCCUCCCCCUCACGAUGACUUUGCGGACAAAUGUCUCAAUUCUAGUGGUGGAGCAAUGAACAACAAUCUGAUGUCCUGAUCGAGAACGAUGGAGCUAAUGUUUGAACUUGUGUGUUUGAACUUGUGAACUAAAAAUGUGAACUAUGGAUGUGAACUAAUGUGAAUUUGUGAACUUAUGUAUUUGGACUUAUGUGAAUUUGUGAACUUAUGUAUUUGAACUUGUGUGAAUUUGUGAUAUGAACAUAUAUCCAUGUGUUUGAAAUUUGUAUUGUAUGUGAUAUUCUGUGUUGCAUGUGAUAUUAUGU
Molecule: long non-coding RNA, 6566 nt
Filed under: Zea mays
Lineage: Eukaryota; Viridiplantae; Streptophyta; Magnoliopsida; Poales; Poaceae
Description: long non-coding RNA (ZMAY_LNC001677)
Source: RNAcentral